ACCACACGGGCUGCAGCCCCCUGCACUGGGACCCCCAGAGCUGGGGACCCUCCCCAUGCCCCAGGUACCCCAAAACCUGCCUGUCCCCACACUCCAGCAGCUCGCAUACCCGGUUAUUUUGUGCCCCUGGGUACCCCAUAUUUUGGGUACCCCAUAACCUGGGUACCCCAUACCCUGGGUACCCCAUAUCAGGGGUACUCCAUAACAGAUAUACCCCCAUUUCCCUAUACCCCAGGCACCCUGUACCCCGAGUGCCUCAUACCCCAAGUGCCUCACACCCCAGUUUCCCCACACCCCAGGUGCCCCACAACCCCGUUACCCCACACCCCUAUUCCUCCUAUUUCCACUCGUCCAUAUCCCAGGCACCCCACAGUCUGUGUACCCCACCCUUCAGUCCCUCCAUACACCAGGUACCCCAUAUUCCAAGUGCACCGCACCUCAUUUUCUCCAUACCCCCCCCCACACCCUGUACCCCAAUUACUCCAUCCCCAUUCACCCCAUACCCCGAGUUCCCCACACCCCAGUUUCUCCAGACCCCAGGGACCCCCAACCCAAGCACCCCACGUCAUUUCUCCAUACCCCAUCCCCCCCUUUGCCCUGGGGGAUUCCCAGCCCUGUGACCCUGAUCCUACUCACAGGGAGCACGGGGCUCCCCCCACCCCCACAGCCCCAAACCUCUGCCCACAACCCUAAAACAUAAGACUGGGGCACGGGGGAGGGGUCCCCCCAAAACCACCCCAGGCAGAGGGUGCCGGAACGACCCCACUGGACCCCCUGCUGCCAUCCCACCCCCUACCGAAGGCGACAUCCCCCCCACGUGCCCCUCUGCUUGUGCUGCGCUUGCAAAACUUGUAGGAUUUCCUGAAAAGUGCCGCUAGUGGGGAAACGAAACCAGGGCUCGGAGAUCCCUCCCAGCGCGCGCGCUCGGGUGGCCGCUGCAUUCGCAGCACGGCACGGGGCAGGAUGGAGAACUGCUGCCUGCGCUGCCGCCUCCUCUACAAGCAGUGCUGGGGGGUGUCCCUCGCCCAGGCGCUGGAUGUCACCAACAGGUCCCUCGCCGAGACGCAGGGGCAGUGGGAGAGCUGCAGAAAGGAGCUGAGGACAACAGGGAGAUCAAGGAGAAGCUGGAACAGCAGCGGCAGCAGCUGGAGGAGGCGCAGAAGGACAGGAGAGAUCUCCAGUCACAGAUCUGGGACGCUUUGGCAAGGAUCGGGUCCGGACAGAGCUGGCAUUCGAGUGGCACCAGCGCGACGUUCCCCGGCGUGGCCGUGCCCCUCGUCCUCCUGGCUCUGCUCUUGGCCAGGCUGGAGGCCAACGCCACGGCGCUGCGGGACGAGGCGCUGGCGCUGCGGCGCGAGCGGGCUGAGCUGGCCCGCAGGAACGCGGCUCUGCAAGGUGUGUCCGUCUGUCCGUCCCCUGGGACCCCACCCCGGGGUGCUGACCUGGCCACCCACCCCCUGGGGACGAUGCCCAGCCGGGUGGCUCAGGUUUUGGGGUGCCCCUUUCGCCCCGCAGAGGAGCUGGCGCAGGGCACGGAGGAGGCGAAGGAGCUGCGGCGGCGGCUGGAGGAGGCGGAGGAGCAGUGGCGAACGCUGCGGGCACGCGGGGAGAAGUGUGAGGCUCGGCAGAAAGAGCUCGAGAAAAACCUGUGAGGGUCCCAUCCCUUUGCCGUGCCCCCCCCUGGGUGCCCCCCCAAGGCUGCGGUGCCCCCUGACACGGCUCUGCUCUGCCCGCAGGAGGGACUACGCGGCCGAGGUGGAGGCGCAGCAACGGCGGAGAGUGGGGUCCCGCACGGCCAGGCGCAGGAAAGGCUGAAGCCCCGCAGCAUCCUUCCUGCCCCCCCAUCCC
Molecule: long non-coding RNA, 1848 nt
Filed under: Anas platyrhynchos platyrhynchos (common mallard)
Lineage: Eukaryota; Metazoa; Chordata; Aves; Anseriformes; Anatidae
Description: lncRNA (ENSAPLG00000021010.1)
Source: RNAcentral